Non-coding RNA from Taeniopygia guttata (zebra finch), 31821 nucleotides. The record is from RefSeq and is a predicted model, not a curated record. Lineage: Eukaryota; Metazoa; Chordata; Aves; Passeriformes; Estrildidae.
UCGGCCCCGGCACGGCGGGGAGAGGGAGCGAGCGCCGGAGGGUGCCCCAAAACCUCCCCCAACCCCUGGCCCUGUACUCCCCAGAACCUCCCCCAAUCCAUGGCUCUGUGCUCCCCCCAGAGCCUCUCUAGCCCAUGGCCCUGCGCCCCGAAAACCUCCCCUAGCCUACUGCUCUGCUCCCCCUCACCUAACGUCUGCCAGUUCCGUUCUCCGUCUCAAGCCUCCCCCAGCGCAUGGCUCUGUUUAUCCACCCCCCGCCUUCCCUAAGGCUGUGCCUCUGUUUAUCCGUCACCCCCCCACCCGUUCCAGCCCACGGCUCUGUUUCUUACCCCUUCUUCCCCCCCACCGCCACCCCACAAAUAGCCCUGUCCCCGCCGCCCCGCCUCCUCCAUGGCCCUGCUCCCCCUCAUCUCCCCCAGCCCAUGGUCCUCCUCUCCCCCCGUACCUUGCACCCCGUGCCCCCCAGCCCAUGGCCCGCGGGUCCUUGGGAGCUGCUGCGGCCCCGCUCCGGGCUGCCUGCCCUUCCUCCACCCCUCGUGGCUGGCGUUUUCAGGGAGCUGGAGGUGUUCUGGCUUGGUCCCCAUCAUUUCCUCGGUGCUGAAUGCCCCGGGUGGCUCAUCUGGUGGGAUUUGCGGGGUUUAGAAGUUGUUCUGCUACUCUGCAGUUCUGCUACUGCUGCUGUGCGGGAGAGCAGCGGGCUCCUUCGGGCUGGGGUACGGUGGGAAAGGUGAUGCUCGUUUUGCCUGCAGAAGGGUUCGGGAAAAUGAAAUUUUCUUCGGCGCUCCCUGCAGCAUGUGAUGGAGACUGUGGGGCUGUGGUUUGGUGGUGUGAAGUGAGUAAACAAGACCUGCAGCUGGGUUGUGGAGCGGUAUCAGUCUGUGCAGUAGUGUAAAAACAGGUCGGGAGGCAAGAUGGAGAUAACAGCCCUCUAAGCUUAGAUUUAUGUGCAUCUAUCCCCGCAGGAGCACUACAGAGGCUUGAACUGCUUAGGAUGCACAAAAAUAAGGAAAGAAAUCACCAGCGUAGGGAAGUCUGCAGAUAUUUUUUCUUAACUGUUGGUGGAGUUAAAAAGAGCAAACGGUAUUGGCUAGGAAUGUGCAUUUUGUGGAGAAAUGUAUGACUUACGAUAACUUGCUGAGCUUCACGUCCUGUGCUUUUCCAACUAGAGUAUCUUGUCGCUGUUUUGGAAGGGAUUCAAGGUAACAGAGUGUGAAGUACAGCAGCUGAGAUAGAGUUGCCUAAAACCGUCUUGUGUUGGUGGCCUAGCUGGUCUUUAAAUGAUAUGUAAUCAAAAAGUCCCGAUGGAAAAGCUGCUAUUGAGAUUGUUGCCUGAAAGAUUUAUUUGUGUGCCUCUUGAGCAGUGGAGCUUGAAUAGACAGACGUCAUGGUUCUUGCAGUUAACAUUUUGGGUUUAGUGUGUUGUGUGGCACGGCAGGGAGGCUGGCAGUGCCUGUCACUUACUGCAGAGCAGUCCCCAAGUCAGUAUCUACAUCUGACCAAGUUUGUGGUAGAGAUUUGUGGAUAUUUUCUGUUUUAUUAGUCACUACUGAGAUUAUGGUGUGGGGCUGUCCCCUCCUGAGGGUGCUCUGCCCUUUUCUUUCCUCUCUUAAGGAGUUUAAAACUUACUAAUAUAUCUGGUGGGAAGAUUAGCACAAGCACCGUCCCUUUCUGUGUGCUGCUGGUGUUUGGAUUUCUGCGGGAUGGAUGAUGCCUUCAGCAGAGCAUUUUUUCAAGUGGUAAUUAAUACAUGUUUAUGUGGUGUAAAUGUGUUUGUGAAUAAGAUGCUUGAGCUCUAGCGACGUGCCAAGGUUGUGUGGAAGUGGGAGGAGGACGUGAAGCACUGGAUGUAGUUAUCUCCUUAGCAUGUGACUCGUGUUAGUCUUUUAUGUAUUAAUGAUUUCUGUUACCUAACUGUGGCUCAGCUCAUUUGUCAAUCACAAAAACUUGAAAACCAAAAUAGCAGUCUAAAAACACGUUUCAAGAGCUGAGAGGAUGAGUAAAACCUUCACAGAUAAUUUGCUGUCUAACUUUUAUUGGACGCUGAGUCAUGAGAGCAGUAGCUCUGAUAGAUGGGAACGAUUUAUCUAGAUAAUGAGUGUAUUGUAUGUCUUCUGAGGGCUCUUCAGCUAGCUCUUAAAUAUUUAAAAAUUGAAUAGUUGCAGAGUUAGGGAUUUGUCCUCACCCCUUUAGAUUACAACUCUACCAGGCUGUAUUUUUUGAUAAACCUCCUUUAGCUAACUCUUUCUCACUAAUAGCAGCUUUUAAAUCCGUGUGGUAGUGCCAUGUGUUGCAUGUAGGAAACACAGGCAUUUGGAUUGUGGUGGUUGCCUUCCAAUUCUGCUGCAAUGAGUUUAGUGUUGUACUGAUACUCCCCAAAUCAUAAAAUCUUUUAACCUCGGGGUACUUGAGGUUCACUGACAGGAAUUGUGUGGUUGGCAUGUGGCUGCUGUGAGAAAAUACGAAGUAACUUCCUGGAAGAGUUCCUUCUGCUGCAAGCAGAACUGUACCCCGUGAAGAGAAUAGACUUUUAGUUCAGGCUGCUUUAAACAUAAACUCCAACCUGCAUGUACUCCUUGAACUGAUUAUUUAAUACUCUCCUGCUGAAGAGAAGAGGUUCGACAGCUCUGGAGAAGAACAUGCUUGGAAUCUUAAGCAAUUCAGGACUUUCAGUGGAGUUCCUAUUACUGAUUCCUAGAGUUUUCUUUCCUAUGUAGAGUGGCACUGUCUUUCCAGCACUUUGGAUUUUAUUUGCAAUGUAAACCCUCUUCCUUUGUUACAUUUGGAGUUCAUAGGAGUGUCUAGGCAUACUUGCUGGACCCAAAGACUGUUGAAAUAAUCUGAAAUUCAAACUCCCCUUUCAGCAGCAGUUGUUUAUAUUCAAGUACAAGAGUGCUAUCUAAUAUGAAGAGAGCAAGUGCUAAACUGGCUCCUAAAUUGAUUUGUCCUUACUUUUUUGCACAGAGAUUUCUUGCUUUGUAUUAUUCUAAGUUACAUGCGAUACUGGAUAAAACUGUUCUGGGUGAUAGUGCUUCUUUAGUUUUUCCUCAGUAGAUAAAGGUGCUAAAAUAAAAGUGGGCUGCUUCCAGGUUCUUGCAUGUCUCAGAGUUGCAGAGUCAACAGUUCAAAAGCAUUUGUUGUGCAUUUUUUUGUAGGAAAUUAAUGCUAAGUAGCCAGUCAGUUUUAGAGUAACUUGGACUGUUAUGUUAGUUUAAUGACAGGGUAAUAUUAUUAGUCUGGUACACAGACUUUACCAUAGUAAAAUCCGCCUUCCCAUGUUCUGUAGUUCACAGCAGUGCUGCUUGAUCAACAUUAAACAUUCCUUAUACCAAGUAUGUUGUGUGCUUAGAAACAGGGAGAAAAAAUAUGAAUUGCCUUCGUAUUUUGCGUGUGGUCUUUAGGUUACUGAAAAUAUCUUGAGGUUCCACGGUGUGGUGAUCUGCAAGGGUAGGUAACAGCUGAAUAUGUCAGUUCCGGUUUCUCACCAUCCAGGCUGAGACUAGCACUAUAUUUUUAUAAAUUUUAGCAUGAUGGGAAACCAAGGAAAUAUGGUAAAAAAACCUAAUUUUGAAUGCUUAAUGAAAAGACUUUAUAACACUUUAGCCAAGAUGAUGUAGACACUAUUAAUAGUCUAUAGAAAUACUAAUAGUCUUAGUACUAACAUGCUGAUGCAGCAGGUGUUGAGCAUCUCAAGUAGUUAUUAUUUAUUUAAGGGGAAAUUAUUGCUUUAAUUGGUAAGAAUGCCAUACCAGACAUAAUGCAGGUAUGAGUUGCUGUGUUCCAGAGCUUUUUGUGAUCUUUAUUCUAGUUUUUCUGUUAAAAGUAAAAUUUAAAAAAAGCAUGUUGUAAAUCCUAGUUUUAAUUUUUGAAAUGAUGAUUAUUAAGUGAUUAUCGAGAAAUAAUCUAAAUCUUAGGGAAAAUUAGAUUGUCCAUUUGGAAAUAACUUGCUCAAAGCAGUGCAAAAAUACUCUGGCAAGUGUGUGGGUGGGAGAAAAUGGGAGACGGUACAAACCUUGCUUUAUUUUGUUUUUCCUUCUGGUCACUUUUAAAAGUACUGUUUCCUGAAAACAAAGUAAUUCAGGGUGGAGCUAAAACUCUUAAAGUACAGGAGCCUUAGAGGCAUCUGAUUGUUGCAGCUCUCCAACUUUGCAGCCCCUUGAAUGCUGGCAUUGAGUAUGUUGAGAACAGUGUUAGAGCAGGAGUCAUACUCAGUCUUGCAGUUGAGGCAGCAGUAGUGUCUUAACACUUCUGCUGCUAUUGAAGGCUGAGACAAAUGACUUGGAAAAUACAUGUGCUGCAAAAGCAUUGUUUUCUCUGGGAAAUACAAGGCUGCAACUGUUCCAGGCCAGCUUAGACAGGGCUUGGAGUAGGAGCAACCUGGGAUAGUGGAAGGUGUCCCUGCCCAUGCUGGGGCAGGUGGAAUUGGAUGGGCUUUAAGGUGCCUUCCAAUCCAGACCAUUCAGGGAUUUUCUGGGUACUUGUUAUAUUAUUUCAGUACAUCAAAGGAAUGAUGGCAUAGUUCAGCUAUUUAGGCAUCACUGACCAAAGAAAUUCCUGGAUAGCACAUAAAACAAUUGCAUCUAGAAACCAUAAUAGCAAUUGGCCUCUUAGAGCUUUUGUUAUGUUUGCAUCGUGGAACUGUGGCUCAAAUGAUGUAAUUUCACAGGAUCAAUCUGAUUCCCCAAACAGCCGUCUUGUUUCAGGUUUCUGGGCGAGCGCAGCGGAGCAUGGGAAUGUGCUGGUUUUGUUGGUUUGCUGAGGGAUUAAAUCAGGUGAUUCAGGUGUGGGGAAUGUGCCCACAGAGCUGGUGAGUAAGUGUAUCCAGGUAAAUUCUGAGCUUGCACAAGCACAGUAAGCAUCUACUUGGGUGAGGAUUGUUUCCUGUUGCAGCCAGGGGUGUUGGGGACAAGUCUCUUAAUGCCCUUUUCUGCUGAUUGUGCACGUGCACCUUUGUGCCCUGAGCUGUUAACCUGGCUCGAAGAUAACAUUCAGAGGGUGCUUAGCACUGAGGGUGCUGAGGCCCUGGCGCAGAGUGCCCAGAGAAGCUGUGGCUGCUACAUCCCUGCAGGUGUCCAAGGCCUGGCUUGGAGCAACCUGGGAUAGUGGGAGAUGUCCCUGCCCGUGGCAGGGGCUGGAAUGGUAUGAUCUUGAAGGUCCCUUCCAAACCAAACCAUUCUGUGACCUACUCUUAUUGUUUGUAGACCUCCAGUGUGAAGAAGUGGGUGAAAUGCAGCACAGUUUUGCUGUUUGUGUGGCUCAUCUGCAAAUGGAAAGAUAUUUCUUUUUAAUGUGGAAGAUGUCAGAUUCCAGUGUGUGGGUAAACAAGAGGAUUCAAAUGCUUGAUAUUAACUGUACUUGCAUGGUAAACUAAAAACUAGGUUUGACAGUUGUCUCUGAAGUUCCUGGAAUGUCUUAUUCUGGCUUUAAAUUAUAUGCUUCACUGCUAUUCUCUGCAAUAGCUGCAUGAUUAAAUAUCACAUGCUUUUGAACAAGUGCAGAAAACUUACAGAUCAAGAGGAAAGCCUUAAACCAUUAACUUGUGAGGAUAACUUCUUUCUCCGGGGCAAAAAAAAAAGGAGACCUGCUGUGGAUCAGCUGAUGUUGAUGGAGCAAAUGUAUAAUGAGGCUUUAGAGUUUUCAGUGAGUGUGCCGGCCCUCUCCCACCGUUUGCUUUGGGGAGUUAGUUGAAAGCAGCAGGCAGUAAUGCUGAUACAAGAGUUCGUGCUGCUGUGUAUACAUAUCACUGUUUUUAUUUCUAUUUAAAUUGGCAAAUGAGUCCUACACCCUAAGAGGGGGCACUCAGCAGAGCAGCAGAUAGGACAUUGGAUUUGCUUUUGCUCAGCUCAGGCACUUGGGAAAAGGGAACGCUUUGGAAGUUGGGCUGCUGUGUUUGUGUUCUGCAUAGUACUUAGCAGUAACAAAAAUUUGUGGUUUCAAGGAGGUGACAUCGGUGCUCAAGCUAAGUAUCUUCACAAAACUUAUUUUCCAAUUAGGAGAAGUGCUUGUUUUCCAGGACUUGAGUAACCACGGUCUUAGCCUUAACUUUGCCACCUGAAGGAAUAGGUUUGUAUCUUUGAUCAUGCUGUGAAAACUGAGGUGAGAAUAUUAGAUAGGUCAUUAAUUGCUAAUAUUUAAGGGAUGCACUUAGGCAGUAUGCUAAGGCUGCAGUAUGUUUGUAAGUGAAAUUAAAAAAUCCCACAUUGUUUUUGGCUAAUGAGAGAGGCUUGGAGUAGUACCGGGCAGUUGAACAACUCCCCAGACUUCAGGAAUACUCUGUUCUCUACUGCGUCACCACUGGGAUUGGUUUUGUCCUUGCCAAUAAGCAAGAUGAAUGGUAGUGUUGGUAUUUUUAGCAAAUCUUUGAAGAAAAGGUAAUGUAAGCUCCAGAAAAAUCUCAGAACUCAGUUGCACCUCAACUCUGUGACCCUUUACUGCGAGUGCAUUUCAAAUAUCGCUUUCUGCAAUUGUUAGUUUUUAUGUGAGGGGUUUUCUGUGUGACCUUUGUACACACAGCUUUAUAUCAGCCGUGGAACAAAUCCAAAAUGAUUGCUUACUAAUCUACGGUGGAUAAAGUUUUCUGUUCUGAGACAGCAAGUGGUAUAUUCAAUAGUUUUGAUAAUCCUAAUGUCUGUGGGAGUAAGAGAUUUGUCUUCUGUUAUAUUAGUUUUUGUCCUUGACUGCCUUUAAGCACUGUUUGUACUUUGACUCACCUGUACUGAGGGAGAACUGUGGCUCAGCUUCUCUUUUGUGUUCCUGCCUGUCCUCACACCAUGAAAUAGAGCAAAGACAGUGCCAGAUGUGGACAAGUUGGGAUGCUGCCGAUUUUUGAUGUUUGACUUCUGUGGUUUCUAUACCAAUGGAGAGUGAAAAGGAGGGUGAUUUUAACCUAGUGUCUGUAAGGAGAGACCUUUCAACUACUUCCUAGUAGUUUUUGAUCUGAAGUUGUUUGCAGUUAAUUUGUGCUUCUCUUGUAAUUGUGCUAAGGUUAUAAAUGCAGCAUAAAUCUUGUGAUCCAUGUUAGAAAUAAGGUAACGUCUCAUUUAGAGGUAUUUUGGCUACCAGCAAUCUAUGAUUUUUUAGUAAGUUUAUUUUAAAUUUUAAUUCCAAGGUGGAAACAGUGAGGAUGUCAGGUUUCCUUGGUGGUGGUGAGUCCAUUGUGGGCAGCUGGCAAUUCCAAAGCCCUCUGGAAGUAUUUAAUAAUUUUUUUCUUAAGUGGGUAGAAGCAGAUGUGUUAUUUAAUCAGUAUGUGCACAUUCAGCCUCAUUAAUUCAAUUUCAGGAUCCUGACUAAUCUAUUUGGAGCCUGCAUAGUGGUAGAGAUGACAGGGUGUUAAGAUAGUGGUGUAUUUCUAACCAGAGAAUGACUUGUUCUUUCACUUUUCUUUCUUGCUGCUUAAAUAAGCUUCAGUUAACCACUUCAGGAAGCCAGAGCUAAAACCACAGGGUUGAUCUGUGUGAAAGAUGUAAUUUCAGUGUUUCCUUUGUAACUUUACUAGUUUACAUAGUUGGAUAAUGAAUGUAAACCCAAUGAUGAGACAGUUACUUUGUUUGGUAAUUUUCCCUUUUAUCCCAAAGAAAGAUACAGGCAAGCAAAGGGACUCUGGGGAACACUGGAAUUGAAUCUGUAGUUUUUGAUGUAUUGCUUUGUGUUUGUCUGUGAGAAGCUUAAAUUUUUCAAAUUUUUUUUUCGUUAUUUUUAAAGGGAUUGAGGAACUGUUUAUAGUUUAGACCAAAUGAAUGCUCAACAUGACUUUAACUCGAAACCUCGACUUGAACUUGGUGGUGCUUACAUUUACAAAAAGGAACAACAUCCGUGGUUUUAGUUUAAAUUUCUUAUUAAUUCUGCCACUGUCUCUAUAAUUUACAACAGUCUUCUUCAGUGCCAUAGCCAGAAGUAGGAAUGACACAGCCAGUCAGUCACUGUUGCAGGGUUUUGUACUCGGUUAUACAGAUACAGUAGGUUCGAAUGUGAGAGAUUCUUAUCUUUGUUUGAGCUUCUCCUGCUCAGGCCAGCAGCCAGGACGCCUGUCUUUUUGGUAUCACAGCAACUGUGCUCUCCAGAGGAAUUAUGCUAAAAGCAUGGCACUGGAAUGCCCAGACAGCAAUCAUUUAAAUGGAUCCUAUUUAACCUGGCAAGUGCUGGUGUGUCUGAGUUAACUCCUUGUGUGCCAGGAGCUGUUUGCAUCACUUGGGUGACAUCCCAACUCAGGUGCCUGGCAUGUGAAUUUGGAGCUAGCCAGUGUGUGGACAAAUGAGGAAUUUUUACCUGGUUAGAAUCAUCUUGGACUUGAAAGUUUUAGUGUUGAAGAGAUGUUACUUCUCCUAGUUUUCUUUUUUUUUUGUUUGUUUGUGUUUUUUUCCCCCUAAAUUCUCCCCCAGUAUCUGUGGAACCCUUUGUUAUAGCAUCUCUAAGCUGUGUUGGAGAUGUUUAGGUUGGAUUUUAGGAAAAGGUUCUUCUCCCAGAGGAUGCUGGGCACUGCCCAGGCUCCACAGGGAAUGGUCACAGCCCCAAGGCUGCCAGAGCUCCAGGAGCAUUUGGACAAUGCUCCCAGGAAUGCCAAGGGUGGGAUUGUUGGGGUGUCUAUGCAGGGUGAUGGUUGGACCCCAUGAUCCUUGUGCAUCAGGAUUAUUCCAGCUCAGGAGAUUCUGUGGUUCUUGCUGUGCAAGAUCCGACAGUGUUUGGACAGCUGCUGGUUUUGCUCCAGCAGUGAAUUUCCUCAAAGAUACACCAGCCAAACUCCACCCAACUCCAUAACUAGGGAGGUGAGGAAGGAGAUUGAAACGUCUAAGGUUGUGAAUGAAUUGAUAAACAUGAAGUUGGAAUAUAUGUCCAGGUCCAGGAAACAAUCUCAAGUAGGCUUGCCUAGAAAUUUACGGAGGGUAGUUUUACAGCUAUGUAAAUGCAUUAUAGAGAAGAUCUAGGAGUGUUCUCAAAGCAUAAAAAUGAUUGUGGCUUUGCAGUUUAAAUCUGCUGUUUUGAACUAGGUUAGCAGGUGCAAAUUGAUGGAAUGGUCCUUUUCCCUCCUGUUUUCUACGCUGUUACAGCCAGAAUUACUCAUUCAGUGGAAUUGCUUGAGGUGGCUUGAAGUAAUUUUCAUGUCUCAAAGGCAAAAAUCAGGUCAUCCCUCAGCCUUCCAGUGGCAGCUGUAGCACAUGAAUGCAGCCAAGAAAUCCAUAAAGCCAACUUAUAGCAGUAGGAACCAAUGGCACUUCUUGUCAUAGACUUGGCCUAAGAAAUCGCCUGUGUUAUUUCAAAAAGUUGAUCUGACUGCAGGGUGCAAAGGAUCUCUUGGAAACUUAUUUCAUCCAUUUAGUAAUGCUGGAAUAGUAAGAAAGAGUAAUUGAACUGCCAUUGGAUUCUUAGGUUAGAAUAUUGAUGUCUUUUCUUUUGUAAAUUUUACAUAGUGGUCAUAGUUAGGCUUCAGUGACCGAGUUGUUCCUGAUGUGGAAGGAGAAAACAUUAACUAACAUUAGGUUGUAGUAAACUGUUACAGCCAUUGUACCGCUCAUGGAUAGACCCCGGUAGGUGUUUAUCUUUAGGUAAGCUGGUGUGACAUGACAAAUUUGGCCCGUUAAAUAAUCAAAAGUCAGAGAUAGGCGCUUACUAUCACUGAAGUGACGUAUGGCUUAGUAUCUGCUGCUGUGGGGAGGCAGGUUAUGGAGAAGGAGAAAGAUGGGCUGUAAAUCUCUGAUUUGGAUCACUGUUGAGCGCUAAAAUUAGAAUGGUAGCUUGGAAAGUCUCUACAGAUGUGGGUAUUUGAUUGUGAGAAUUCUGAUAAUAAAAAUCACUUUGUAAUGAAUUGCACCAUCUCUGUUUCUGGCCAGAAGGUGUUAUUGGUUGUGCUGCCAAGGGUACAGUUGUCAACUAUCAAAGCUAAUAAAUAAUGACAAUGAAGGAAAAUAAUGUGCCAUUGCUGUCAUGAACAUAAAAUCCGUGAUAUAGCAGAGUUUAAAGUGCUUUUGUAGUAAAGCUUUGUUCAUAUUUUCAAUACAUGCUAAAGAAUUAAUAGGAUUAUUUUCUUUCUACUGUGAAUAAAGCCAAGUAAUAGUUUUCCUUCCUGAAAUUAGUUUUGGAUUGCUGUUCAGGCUUGGGGUUGAACGAUCUCUCUGGAUCCAUGAGCCAGCUUCUGAGCCCCUGCACAGGGUGGUGACAUGAGUGAUGGAUAAUGAAACUGUAAGAAUUGACAGUUGUGCUGGUAUGUUCUGAAUACAGCAGAAAUCUAUAGCAGCAGCCUGAGUGCAGGUGGGACCUUGCCGGAGUGGUUUAUCAUUUUGCUACGGCAGUUGUGCUACUUGAAUGGCAAUCUAUAGUUCCACCCUUGGAGCUGAGUAAAUGAAAGCAGGGAGGAGCAGAAACCAGCUGAGGAAAACGAUUCCUAUACCCUGAGGCAACUCAUCCAUUUAGUCCCCUUUCAUUAUUUUUCUCAUGCAAAAUAAGAGUCUUAUUUUAACCUGCAUUAAUUAAGCUUCAAAAAUGCCUCACCUCUAUGAGAUUGUGGCAUUUAAUAGCAUCUGGAUGUACAACAGUACAUGAGUUUAUGGAUGGAAGGAUCCAGCUAUUGACUUGUUUGAAAAUGAAAUUUAAGUAGGGUGUGGCACAGCUUGCUGCAGGCAAAAGCUGGGCUGAAUAUCCAGGCGUGUGACCCUGAGCUGGAGGGAGGGAGUUGUGUGGCAUCUGGGUGCCAGGUGAUCAAUACCUGCAGCAGACACCUGCCUUGAUAGCUGCUGAUAAAAGUAGCAUUUGAGCUGAGCUCAGGAGCCCUAGGUGGCUUCCAGGAAGACAUUACUUCUCUGGGAAUAUUUUGCUUACUGGAACAUCUUGCUUGCCGCAUAAUAGGAUUCAGUCAGAGGGUUGCUGGUUUGAUUUAUGAUGCUAAUUGGCGUGGUAGUUGAUGUGAACUGCAUGUACUAAUUGCUCACUUGCUAAUCCUCUCCAAAUUAUCUGACAAAAGCUUUUAGGAUGGAGCAUUACAUGUGUUUUAAAACUGGUCUGCAGACAAAUGUCAACAAUUGGGAGCCCUUGUUUUGCUUUAAAUGCCGAAUUCAAGUGCUGGUCCAUUUUAUUCAUUGUAAUGUUAAAAGAGAAAUUCAGUUUCUUUCAUGUAGUCUCGUUGUUGUUCUUUGUGGGAUUUAAACAACAGCUGAAAAAUAUUGCAGAACAUGCUCCUCUCCCCCCACCCAAGCUGGAAAAUUGCCAUCAUCUAUACGGUAAUAGUUUUUAUGUGUUAUCUAUAUGGUGAAGGCAGAGUAUGCAUGUCUGUGCAGCUUUCGGUAAUGGAAAACACGGUGUGCCUUUUGAGUUGGUGGUGGUGAUGUCAGUGCAGCAGAAACUGCAGUGGGAAAACAUAAGGAAAAUAAAAUGGAGAUACUCAUGCAGUGUUGGGGUAAUGAAGGUGUUUUGGCUGUGAUUCUGGUAGAGGAUAUGUGCUUUGACUAUUUUACUGUGCAAACCAAUGAAGUUUAAUAUAAACCAGAGAGAUUUUGUAUUUCCAGGCUGAUAGGCAAAAUCCUGAAUUUAGAUUAAGGAAUGCAGUAGUCUAAGGAGAUGACUUUUACCUUUUCUUAAAUAAGACGAGCUGUUUCAGGAGGGAACUGAUUCUUCAGAUUGAGAAUUGUACAGGCUGCUCUCUGUGUGAAUGGGGAGGAUUGCUUUGCUUCUGUAACAUAUUGGAUUAAAGUGGGUGUUUGACAAAAUGAACAUUAAUCUAUCUCAAACUUAAUAUUUCAAGGUGAUUUAGACACUUUAAUCAUAUAAAAUUUUCUAAUUUGAGCCUGACUGGCUUGCUCUCACAGCAAGCACUGAAAUGAGAUUACAUACAGCUGAAAAAAAUUAGUCAAUUUGAAAGCAAAAAGCAUUUAAAUACAGGUGUUUGGCUGUGAUUUGAAUAUAGCCUGUCAACAGCAAGAGGCAAAAUACUUCAGUGACCUAAAAAGUGCAAAUAUGUCCCUUUAGGGAUUACUUGUUGUUAGGUAAUGACAUGUUAUUAAAAUUAAAGCUCACAUUUAUAUCCCUUGAUUUGCUAACUAGGCCAAUAGCUUUUUAAAAACUCGGUUGAUAAAUGGGGAAAAUGAAUUUUGUCAGAAUUUGUAUGGACGCAGGUAGCUACUGCUGGUGUUUUGGAUGAUUAUUUUUUAAAUUAAUAUGUAAAUAAGGUGGUGUACUCAGGCUGAACCAGCUACCUGCUAGAAGCUUGAAUACAAAUACUGUCAUCUUGGAAGAAAGCAACACUAGAGUGUUUUAGAAGUUGUCUGGUAUUCCUGAAUUCCAGUGAAAGGUGCUGUCAGAGGAACCUGUGUUACCAUGCAAUGUGGAGCCAUUUCUCCUCCUUGCCUGACAUUCUGCAGCUGGUUUUGUGUAGUUCUCGUACUGUUUCUCUACUCAGCAGAUGGAAAUAUUGCCUGCUAGGUAAGUGGUGAUAUUUGAUAAAAGCUGGUGAGUGAUGCCACAUUAGGGAAAUGAAAUAUGGAUAAAUUACAGUUACGAAAGGGAUUAGAUCUUUUUCGAACAAGAUCAUUGAAGCUGUAAGUAAAAAAAAAAAAAAAAAAAUCCAAAACAACAACCUGCUACAAGCAGGGAUGAACACAGUUGUAUGAAUCUGUGAUCUUCCUGAGAAUGAACCAUGUCUAUUAUUUCAGCAUGCUCUUGUUUGCCUCUGUGAACUUGAUGCCAUCAAUAAAAAGGGUGUUCCUAGCUAGGUAUGUCAGCAGAGACUGGACAUUUAUUGUCCUCAGGGUAAUAUAUUCCCUGGAUAGGGAUUAUGGUACAGGUUUCACUGGGAAUAGUGUGUGAGAACACUACAGAGUGCCAUAAAAACCCUCUCCUACCCUGUGACUCUUUGUUUGGUUGGUUUCUGCUGUAAUCACUCUUGGGUCCUUGGGCUGUGUGAUGGGUCUGCUCUGAGGAUCACCUCUGGAUUGAGGAAAAUUGUUACCUGUGGGUGUAACAGGUACUUCUUACACAUCCAGGUGUUAAAAACUAAAAUCAAGAGCAAGUGCAGUGGGCUUGAACCUGAUUGAAAUUUACAUAAAGGCCUAGAAAAACAAUGGUGAUGGCAAUAGGAUGACACUGAUUAUGAACUGUCCUCCAGAUUUUGUAUUGCCAAAUUGUUGUUGUAUUACUGUCCUUUAUAGACUCAAAUAAAACCGCAAAUAAUUAGACAAGUCUAAUUUUCGUCCAGUUUUUAAAGCAGAAUGUAAAACCUAAGUCUUAGGAGAUAGUACAGUAAGCAUCUUGAAAAUGUUGCCUCUGUAAUAGUGACAUGGGCUCAUCUGCUGGCAUCCAUGGUGGGGUUUUUGUGUUUUGGAUGCUGUGGCCAAGCUACUGCUGGAACAAUUCCACAUUGAGCAGAGGGAACUGAAAGCCCAGUGUGGUUGCUGCUGGCCCUGGAUCUUGAAUCAAUUGCUAAAAAUUUACAUGCAGAUGUGUCUGUCUGCAACCCAAAACACCUGAGUGAAAACCAAUGGACUUGGAAAGCCCGGGAGCUGUGUAUGAGGCAGCUGUUAGGUUUGAUGUCCUUGGCAAUGUGGACAAGUAGAAGCUCUGAUGCUGAUGAGGGAUGUGACAUGGAAAACCAUCAUGGGGAGAGACCAUGGGAUUUGUUUUCGAGAUGUAAUAGCUUGUAAGUAAUUCCUAUGGAGCUGUAAAAAUGGAUUUCAAUGGUCAUAUAUGCUUGAAGUAUGGGAUAGUGAGUGGUUUCCUCACUUGCAAGGAGCAUUUUUUGCUCAGAGUUUGCAUCCAAGCAGGACAAACAGGCCAUUGAAACAUAGGUGAUGCCUGGAAUGUAGCAGCUUCAGUGUACAUUGCUUUUACUCUCCUAAACUUCUUGAGUGCUUGCAGGCUGUUGGCUUUUGGAAGCAAAAAGAAUCCAAAUUCUUGUAAUAGUCAAAGACAGGCAGCUGUUCUGGGAGACUGAGAUAGGAACUAAAAUGACAUUACUUGAGAGAAUUUUGAAGGCUUCUAGAUUAUCACUUUUGUGUGCUUGAAUGUUGUGAAGAUUUGCUGGAUCUGGUUCUGCUUCUUGUCCCUGUGAUUGCCAACUUUCAGACUAAUUCCUAUAUUUAGGCAUUUAUGUGUGCUGUGUAAUAAUGAGCAGCUGAUGUAAAAGCAAAUAGUUUUAACUGCUUGGCACUUGUUUAAUUUGCAUCUUGCAUCCACUUGUCAGCAAAUGUAUGAAUUUGUGGUUAACUUUACCUGUUUAAAAUAAAACCCAGUGUAUGAAUUCCUUUAAAAGAACAAAUCAAAUUACUUGUAUUUAUGUUGCAUUCACGUGGGAGGUGAUGGGGAAUAGAUAAGAGCUAAUGACAAAUUGUGAUACAAGAUGAAAAUAACGGAGAUUGAAAAUCAGUUCUGUUUUCUGUAACAUGUUUUUCGUCCAGGGGCUGACUUCUUGCAUUAAAACUAUUUUAGCUUCUGCUCUUUGUUUACUCUUGAGGAGGUGGAAGCUUUAUGUUGAGAAAAGGACACAGAAUUUGUUGUUUUCUUGUAACAUGUGGCUGAUUGCUAAUCUUAUGGAAAUGAUGUAUUGAGCAGAUGAGACCUGAUUAAUAAUAAAUAAAGAUGCUGAGAAUGAUUUUUUGGGGGGGAAUUAAGCUUUUAUUUUAAUUCUUUUUAAACCCCCACAGAGUAAAGCCUCUUUAAGCUAGUCAGGUAAGCAAAGUCUGUAACCUGAGGAUUAUAUUACUCUGCUCCUUUGUGCCUUAGAAUUACUACAACCUCCAUUCAACUUGAAUUCAAAAUGAGGUGAUGUGCUGCUUGAUUCCCAGGUUGGAUUUAACUGAAAAUAAUACUAGAAAUGUGCAAGACUUGGGGUAUAGUUGAGCAGCAGAAUACAAGCUUGCUAAAAACACAUGCAGAUCUUCACGGCCUUCUGAGAGUGUAGUUUAAGAGUGGGUGAGCCUGUGAUAUUUAAUUUGCUGCUGCAGAGCUGAUAGGCUGGUGGAGGGCUCUUGGCUCUGUUUGGUGAAUUGCUGUCUUACACCUAAAUGUGCUUUUUCUCAAGGAGCAGAAGCAGGGUAGGAUGCUGCACAGAAACUCUUGCUGUUGAACACCUCAGUGGGCUGUAAAAUAACUUCCAGGCCCUAACAAACUUGAACCUGUUUCUCUGGGAGAGAAGGUCCUUCCUCCCAAACCAUAUUAGGGACAGGAAAUCUGGUCUUCAUUCCAAAUGUUUGAUUAACCUUGACUAUGCAGAGUUGUUCUUUUUUGGAGGAUGGUCAGGUUGUCUGUUAGACUUGUGAGUGAAAGGCAAUUUGUUACAAUCUCAACACCCACUGUAGUGGAGAACAAAGAAUUUCUCUAACUUGGAAAAUCGGCACUGUGUCCUAGGCUUGAGCGAGGUCAGGAGCGUGUUCCUGAAGUCAAGUAGUUGUCCUAUGCUAAUGCUGCUCAGUGAUGGCUACUUUGUAUGGUAUAAUCUGAGUAAUUUUGUAAUUAAUGGGUGACCGUGGUAAUCCCUUAAUGUUUAAACAAUUGCCGCACUUAGAAAAACAACUGUUGGCCAAAACACACAAUUAAGUUUUGCAUUGGGUAGCUUGCAUUUUGUGGAAAAGGAUUAUUUAUCUGCAAGUUCAUGGGUGCUUGAGUCCCAAGUGCAUUUGAGUCAGUCCCUCUUCCUUGUCUGUCUGCACUAUAAAAUCAGAGGGCUCUGUAGCUGAUUCUCUCUGUCAGUGAGUCUGGGAAACCAUGGAGUGCUGUAGAGAUGAGAAUUCUGCCAAUAUAAACUUUCCAUGGAAACAUUUAUCAGGAAAUUUAGUUGAAAAAAUAAGCUAACAGGCCAGCAUAGAUCAGCCUUCUCAUGUUGUCCUAAUGCUUCCUUUUCCCUGGCUAACCUGAUACUGAGGUGUUUGAGUAGUCUGAUAAUGGAUGAGUGCAGAUAGAGCCCAGUCAGAGCAGCAACCCUGCUCAGAACAUACAUCUUCAGCUUUUCAGAAAUGUCAUCUUGUGUUUCUGUGAAAAACACAGGGUUUAUGUCUUCAGGUUUUUAGAACGCAUUAAAUUUGCAUCACAAGUUACAGAGCUUUAGUGAAAGAUUCUCUGCAUUGCUGAACAAUCACCCAUAUAAUUUUCACCUUUUAUUUUUAAGGUAUGGUACCAGGGACUAGGAACUUGAAGCAUUAAGUGCUUGUGAGCAGAAUGCAGUUUACAGAAUUUCAGGGUAAAUCAAUGAGUUUUCUGUGAUGUUGUACUUGCAGUAAAGCUAGGAGUGUUGGAAAUUUAAUUUACCUUAUUUUCUAAAUACUCAGGGUUUCAGAUCAUGUGUUGAGAAUUGUUUUUUUAAUUGUAGAAGUGCUCAGUGGAGAUAAAUGGUCUAACUAAUAUGUCUGCUACAAAUACUGUGCUGCAUUUCUGUGCAGUUUCUUUCCAUCAACUUGUUCUCGCUGUAGCUUUCCUAAAACCCGUGGUUCUCAUAUUAAUACUGUUAAAUUCUAAAAUUUAAACUUGCAGAAAAAUCUAUCAUGUUGCAAUGAUAGAGUUGCAAAUUUUGAAGUGUUGCCAAAUCCAAGGCAAUCUGAUUUCUAAUGUGAUACUCUUGAAUAUUCAGAGUAUGCAAACAAGAGGAAGUUUUCUCUUACAAAGUUGGUGUCCUUUGGGGAGUGAGAGGCAUCUGAGACAAAUCCAUUGAUACAGUGUUAUUGAAUUUUUGCUAGAUAGCUUUAGUUAAGCUGUAUAACUUCUUUUUGAGGAAGACUGGUUUAAAAACAGAUUUCAAGUUGUUAAUUCAUAUUUUCUAUUUUAUAUUGCUAUUUUUUGCCUGGAGAUGGAAAAAUGGCUUGGAGGUGUGAGUAAAGCACCACAUCUAGUGCUUUGACAGUGGCAGGGAGAUCUCACUGAAGGGGUACCUUUGUCAGUCAGUGAAUCUUUACUGAUGAGUAUUGUUAGACACCUCAGCAGUUCAGUAAAGAAUGCUCAUCCCCAUUAAGCUGAAGCACCUUCCAGAUGACUUGGAUCUUAAUUUCUGGGUGAGGUUUAAUGAAAACACAUUUUGACUUACUGCUAGGAGCGUUGGCCUUUUUAAAAUGUGUGCUGCUAGCAGCUUCUGCUAAUUUUAGAUCAUGGGUUCUUGAAAUGCCACUAGUAGCUACAUACCUAAUAACACUGAAAAUAAAGGGACUUUUCACUCCCUGGAAGAUGUGUAAGAAACCACAGUACUAUGCAGCAGUUUUGUGUUGAAUUCCAUCGUGGUUGAAGCUUAGGAGUUCUCAACUGAUUAGCCCUGGGGUUUCUGUUCAGUUUCAAUUGUCCAGGCUGUGCAAACUUCAGGCACUGUAGCUGUGCCAGAAUGUGUAUUAAAUGCAAGUCCUAAUCCUGUGGGACAAGGGUCAGCAUGUUGGAAGUGACCUCUGUGUUGCAUCCAGAUGAAAAUGUAGCAGGAAGUUAUCUACCAAGUGCAUUUGUCCUGGAAGUUGAACCACUUCACUGAAAGCUUAUUUCAGUUUGCAAUAAUUCACUGUUUGCCGAAGAGAAUUAGAACUUUCAUUUGUCAUGAACCAGAGUGAAGAAUUAUAUAGCAGGUUGCUACUGCUUUAUGUCUGAAAAUAAUUGUGAAUAAUUUUUGCUUGGCUUCUGGCACUGUUAGUGUGAAACCUGGCUGAAAACAGCCAUUGCCUGUGUUACUGCAGUUGAAGAACCUCACAGCUUUGUGGGGGGAGUAUUUGCCAGCACCUGGUGAUAAUCCCCCGUUGUCCUAGACUCAGAGGAAUAAAAGCUUUGGAAAAGACUUCCUUUUCCUAAUGGCAGGAGCUAAAGUAGCAAUGUUUCUCCUGGUUUGAAUGUGAUCUGGAGGAGCAGAGGGCUGGUUGCUGCUCCUCAGGGCCACUGCCUUUGAUUUUAAUUAUUUGUCAUAUAAUUCAAGGUGACUUUUUCCUUGAGUUACCUAGAAAGAAACACUCACCAUUCAGAACUGGAUUUUAUUCCUCUCUGUCUAGGACAACACAGGAUUAUCACCUGGUGUUUGUAUUGAACGCUUAAAUCUGAUCAAGUGCUUGAUCCUGUAAUCGCUUGCAGUGAUUAUCUUUACAAACAAAGCUGCAAAAUACUAUUUUAUUUCCUAGAAAUACAUAGCAAGUGAGUAGGGCUGAUGCUUUGUUUGUCAACAGGAAGUGUUUUCUGGUGGAAAUAUUUCAUUUGGCACUGGAAGUGUGGCUCGUUUUGGUUUGUUUGUGAGCUUAGCCAGAUGGACAGGACUGAGCAUUGAGCAGUAAGAGUUGUUUAUUUUCUGGCUGAGCUGUAGCACUGCAGAGGUCCCCAGUCUUUGUUGUUUCAGACCACAGCUGAGUUGGACACCUUCAGUUUGUUCAGAAAGCAGAGCUGUGAUCUGUGUGCUGAUCAGGGGCAGCAAUCGAUUUUCCUUGGCUGCUGGCUGCUACUUAGAGCUAACUUUUAUUUCACUGGGUUUUGUGGAUCUGCAGAAUUCCUUCACUCUUGAGUCAUGUCUCAGAUCGAUUGGGACUGAGGCACUUGGAGAAGAUUUUAAGCAAAACAAUGGUACUUUUUAGGACUUGGUCAGAUGCUUACUUGGCUGUAACUGUUGCAAGAUGAUAACUGCAAUAAUAAAUAUUGCAAAGAAAUUGGAUCUUAUUGCAUUCUUUGAGCAGUUAUGAAAAUGACUUAGAGUUCUGGGAAAGAGAUGAAGAUCAGUCUAUUGAGGCUGAACUGGGAGAAAAGCAUUUUGACUUUGGCCUAGUCACUGUGCAGUGAAAAGAAUUUAUAUCGACUUUGAGCAACUGAAGUGAAAUACAGAAAGUCAAAAUACCAAGGGAGUCUGGUACUACUGUAAUGCAUUGGGGCUUGGCUGGGUUUGUUUGAUUGUUGUUGUUUGUUUUUUUUUUCUUUUUAGAAAUGACAGAAUCAGGCUAAUAGGCUAAUAAUUAUUAAACCUUUGCCUAGGAGCAGUGACAAUUGCUAUGGAAGGAUCUCAGAUACUUCUUUUUAAACAGCGGUAAAUACAGUAUAAAAACCAAGCCAAGGGGCUGAUACUCAACUCUGAAUUAGUGUUUUCAGCUCAUGCUUAUAACUGAAAAAAGAGUACACGUGCAUGUUAAAAGAUCAGUAUGAAUUUGAUUUCUUUGCUUGCUUUAAGACUCAGCUAUAAGAGCUUUUUACCCUUUGCUUUGUUAGAAAUAUUGAAUUGGUGAUGUUAAAGACAUUUGUUUGAAAAAUAACUUUACUUAUUGGUUUACAGAUCAGCUGUUUGAUAUUUGAUCUGAAAUUCAGGCAGUGGCUGAAAUGAAAACAAGUGAAGGGACCCCAACUUGCUACCCAUGUGAUGGAACAGGGAGAAUCCCAGGCAGGAAGGAAAAAAGAGUAAACUAAAAAGGCAGACUUGAGCCAAUUACACCUGGAUAAAUAUAAACUGAACAGAGGAACAAGACUGAAGAACUGAUUGAACUCACUUUUCUCUGUAAGUUGUUGUAUUAAGUUUCAUCUAAUUUAAUUUAACAAAUGUAAAGCUAUUAUGGGUGUUUUGUACAAAGGAUGGAGGGUAACGAGAGUAUUCAUUGGCUUGUAUAUUUUUAAAAAAUACUGUAAAUGGAGAUUACAAUCAGAGUUCUAUUGAAUAAAGUUGGUUACAUUGAAAAGAAUCUGUGAGGUAUUUGUAAUCUGAGGAGUGAAUAGACAAGGCAAAGUUCUGUGGGAUACUUUUAUUAAUUUCUUUUUUACUUAAACAGUUAGGGUAUCUUAUAGCCUAUGUGCUAUUGUAAAUAACCGAGGUCCAAUUUUACUUCCUUGCUGCUUAUUAUGGAACAAGUUAAGGUACAAUGCAUACACAUCAUUUGACUAAAAUCUGCAUGAGCACCAUUCUGAGAAUAAAGGGAGAAAGGAAUAAAAGAAGGGACCUCCACAAGGGAUUUUUGUAAGAAAUAAGAGAAUGUGGUUUCUCCUUCAGGUUGUAUUGUGCCUCUCCAAUGUGUUGCAGAUGGUGUUUCUGAUCCCCUCUGUUCUGCUCUAAACCAGCUGAGGUGUGCAUUUGUUAAAACCAGAAAGAUGAAAGGUGCAGUGAUCAAGUUCUCGCUGUCAAGGAAGGUACAGGUGGUACAAGUGGAGAAACUUGUGGAUCAUGACAAGAUUCAGCUUGAUCUGCAUUUUAUAGCCAGACCAGUUAGUGGUGAAUGUUAAUGAAGUAUCCCUGCUGCAGUGAGUAUAGACUGGCUGAUCCAUAGCGAGCACCCUUCAGUGCUUUGGAAAUUUGAGGCUUUGCAGAUACCAGUACCUGUUUCCAGUAAGAAAGAGGCUGAUAUUACUUGAAGGAAACUUGACUGACACAUGAACAAGAUGUAUCUUUUGAGGGCUUAUUGCCAAGUGUGGAUUUGUACUUAAGCGGAUGUAAUUGCAUGGACUUUGUACUGGAUUGUUUGACAGAUUAAAUUUCUAUGAUAGUAUGAGAUAACAGGAGGUCACAGUCCAAGAAUAAGGUUCUGGAGUGUAUGUAUUCGCAGCUGGGGUGCUAAUCUGAUUAAUUGAGAGCUGCUUCAAUUCAUAAUAAAUUCAUGUUGCCGGAUCCAAGAAUGUCAGUGCCAGUUGUCAGUGCCAGUUAUAUGUGAAGUCUGUGCAUUGAGAAUGGUCUUUUGCACUUGUGCUGGGAAAAUCUGAGCAGGGUCUCCACUUGGCAGCAUCUAAAGCCCGAAGUAGCCACAGCUGGCAUGCAAGGUUAUGCUAAAAAAAAGAUUUGUUUGGGUUUUUCUACCCUGGUCAUCAGGCUAAGAACUACAUGGAUGCGGGGCAGUGUUUCACUGUCAGAUGCAGAGUGCAAUAUAAAUCUGUCUGGCUGUGGCAUUAAGGAAGUAGAGGUCUUAGAUGUAAUGCUUGGUCAGUGCUGGGUAUCAGCACAUGGGCUCUGAUAGCAGCUGAUAUGCUAUUUUUAGAACCCCUGAGGAGCAGUGAUCCCAAAGUGUUGAUUUGCUGCCUCUUAGGUCAGUGCAUGGGAGAGCUGAGCCUGGGCCCUGGGCAACCACAGCCUCUUCCUGCAGUGCCAGCACUGUGCUGGAAACGGGGGCACCUGGGAGCUCUGCCUCUUAUGUAAGAGGAGGAAAUUAUUGCCUGGGAUGAUGUAAAAGGAGCUGGGUAGCUCCGGGUGGCUGAAGUUGGCACCUCAGAGAGCUUCAUCCUUCUCGGACCGAAGCCUUGGUGAUGUGUUUGAAUCAGCACAGCUGCAUCUAAGCAGUGCACAAGCUGAUUUCUGCAACUUGCUUCUUUGGAAAGGAUGUUAUUUGCUGCAAAGGAACUGGAAGAAGAUGGCAUUUCGAGUAUAGGUAUGAUGUUUUUCAGCCUUCAGUCCAGUUUCUGUUCUGGAAUAAUGCCUUUGAGCAGGUUUCCUAUUUAGAAACAGGUGUCUUAUCACUGAUUUUUAAGUAAUGCACUAAUGAAGAAUUGCUUGGAACACAAACAAGUUGAUCUUGCCAGAAUUACUCAGGCGGUACCUUGCAGCUGGAGCUGAUGAAAAUUCAGUCCUCUCUGUAGGUAUUCAGCUUGUGUCAUGUGACAGGGAGAUGUGUUUGGCGGAGACAAAUUUAAUUUAAGAAAGCCCAUUAAGUGGAUUGUAAGGUAGAUGCAGUAAUUCAAUAAGCUGAAGUGAUUCAUAUGCAAUCCUGAUAAUUUUCAAGAGGCUCUUUUUGCAUUGCAGGUAAUUUUGUAUUUGUACUUAAGGUUUUUGCUUGUGCAAGUGGUAACCUGGAGAUGUGGCUGAUACUAGAGGCUUUCUGAAAAUCGGUGAUAUGUAACUACUGCUUUAGGUUGUACAGAAAGCACUAAGGUUCUGUGAGGUCUUCUGAAAGCCUGGAUACACAAACAUUGUUACAGUUAGAGAGAAGCUCUGGAAUGAAAACCCUGGAGGAACAGACAAAUAUUCUAUUAAAAACAUCUGAAGCAAGGUAAUGAUCUAUACAAGGGGAAUGUUUGGAAACAGUUAAUUUAAUUAAUUAAUGUGUCCUCUUUGCUCAUCUGAAAAAAGCUUUUAGAAAGGACUGCAGACAUCUGCAGUGCUUUUUAAUAUUUGAUGGGCUUCUACAAUUCUCCUUACAGAAAAUUCAUGACCUGUUCUAUUUCUGUGAGGCUGCUUCAGUGAAAGCAUGAUGGAGAUAAGUCAGAUUCCUUAUCUUCCUGUUGAGACACCAAAUCUUCUGCUGCAGACUUAGUAGUGUUUUCUUCUUGUGUUUGUGAGCUUUCCACCAAUAGGUAAUUUUUAGGGAUCUGAAACUGAAUUACUUGCCCUGGAUGCUGCUUCAGCUGGUGCCUGGACUGAGUGCUUUGGUCAGGCAGGGCUUCACUGCCUGCUGCUGUUAGGAUCCUUAUUGCAAAGAAGAUAUUGUGAGGGUUCAGCAAAACCCUUAGUAGCAGCUCAGCAUGACUUGUGUAUAGAGAAAGCGCAGUGCAGGUAGAUGCAACAAAAUGAAUGCAGAAUGUAACAGGCUUCAAAACGUGAUGCUUUCAGUUUGAGAAAGUCAUGGAAACCUGAACUCUGUCAGUCUGUGGGGCCUGUAAUCCUCCUCAGUGAUGUGCUUCCCUUGGCUUUCCUUACUUUCUGGCAAAGGAAGCCUCAGUGGCAUUUGAUUUCUCCUCCUCGCAUUGAAAACUUCCAUAGAAGCCCCCUGAAGGCAUUUUUCGUGAUAAUGUUUGGUUAAAGGAAAAGAUAUGCUAUUUCUGAAAUGUUUGAAAAGAACUGCUUAUUCCCAGAUUUUUUUUUUUUUGCCUAAGUGAGAAAAAUAAGAAGUUUACAUAGUAAAACCCCUACUUCUCAAAGUGGUUUACUUCUUUUCAAACCCUUCUUAGAGGUAUCUUGUGUAUACUGUAGCCACAAGAUGGAGUCAAGUUUUAGUUGUGGGGAAUGUGCAGUUUUGGCAUUUCACAUGAUUGUGAUAUUCACAAUUUUAGACUACCCAGAAUCUUUCUAGCCUGAAUGCUGCUGCUGAAGUCAGUUUUCCAGUGCUUAACCAUGGUCUGUUAUGGAGAAGAUUGAAAAUUAGUUGUUUCACAUCAGGCCAAGGUUUGGAAAUGUCAGUUGAGUGUUACUGGAGUGGUUCAGGUAGUUAAAAAAUGGCAAAAUGAAACUUUUGGCUGGCAGAACUCAGAGUGCUGCGGUUUCACUGUUCCUGAAUGUGGAAUCAGUAAGGUUGGAAAAGACCUCCAGGAUCAAGUUCAGCCUUUGUCCAGUCACCACCUUGUCAAGCAGACCAGAACACUGAGUGUCCCAUCUAGAGACAAUCCUGCAGUGGCAUUAAUUUGAGCUUCCUUUCAGAACUAUUUUCUGUGGAGAACGUCUGAAAAUAUAGUGGCAUUAGUUAAGACUCAGUUAAUGUCUGCAAAUGUAUUUGAAUGUUAAAUUAGGGGAUAAUAAUGAAAAUGUGAUGUGACAGAAAGUUUGUCAUUAAUGAUGAAUAAACUUCAUAUGCAUAACACAAAAAUUUAUGUCUGUGCUUUUAAGGAUCUUAACUUCAGGUUUUUUUUUUCCUUUAGGGAGUAUCCACAUUAAGAAAUGCCUUUUUUGGGGAGUUCAGAUAUGUUGUAGGCCUCGGCCAUAUUAUUGUUAUCCCAGGAGCAACAGGUACAAGUAAAUGCUAAGGUGGUAAUAAUGAGCAGUGCUCCUUGUCUGAUAAUACACAGAAUUCAUGACUUUGCUUCAAGCUGUCUCUUUAGGAAGACAAACACAUGGAAACCUCUUAAAAACCCCCAAUACAGUAGCAGCAACAGCAGCAAAAAACCUGCUACUGCUACAUAAAUCCAACCCCCAAACUGUUCUAUUUUUUUUUUUUUUUUUGGAAUGAAACACUAAUUAACUUCUGCCCAAUAUGAACUCAUCUGAGCUUGGUGCCUGUCAAAAGAACAUGUUAAUUGUAUAAUGUUAAUAACACACAAAAAAUUGGACUCUUGGUAAACAUAAAUACAUGCUGGUGGUAUUUACUGUAUUUGGAACCGCAACGAAUAUGAUCCAGUGUCAGCUUUAAUAAAAAAAAAUGAGAUAUGGGGCUCUGUAGGAUUUUCCUGAUGCUCAGCCUCUUGUCAAUUGAACUCUUGGCAGCCUCAGUGCCUGCUUGGAUCUUGCAUCCUGGAGAUCCUGGUGGUGACCAAGUCCAACCACAUGGUUUGAAAAAUGGAUAGCAGGGAAUUCUCUUAACUUUCAGAAUUUUAGGUGCUAGGAACAGAAAUAUUUUAGAGUUGGAUUUUAAAAAAUUGUCCUCUCAUAUAUAGGUGAUAAGUCCUUUUCAAGCCAGGAUUUAACAGAGGCAGACUUAACAUGAGGUGGUAAAUUGUAGCUGCCCCACCCCUGGAAGUGUUCCAGGCUAGAGUGGAUGGGGCUUGGAGCAACCUGGGGUAGUGGAAGGAGGUGGAACUGGAUGAACUUUAAGGUCCCUUCUAACCCAAACCAGUCUGAGACUCUGUAAGUAGCAGUUAUAAAUGAAUUGAGGCUCUUAUGAAGUCUUGUUAUAAUAUACCAAAGCAAUAUUGUCAAGCUGCUAAAAGCAUUCUGACUCUGGAAAUGGAAAAGAGAAAUUUGGGUAAGUUUCUGAAGGCCCAGGCUAUGCAGAAUAAAUGGAGCAUUUCACUUUUGCAGGGACUUCAGUGAUUAAUUGAAAGUGCUCAGAUGCUGAGAACUGUGCAUUGAACUAAAGAAAGAGGAGAGGCUCUGUAAUCAGAGAAAGAACCUUCAGUUCAUCAAGGUGUUUUUAAUAAGCGUGCCUAAUCUGUAAAAAUAAAUAUAAAUUCUCACUGUUUGUGUGAAUAGAGAUGAAACAUUACACUAAGGACAGAGCAAGAUUGUUUUUACUGUGAUUAGCAAUAUUCCUAAUAUUCUUAAAAUAUUGGAAAGUAAUUGUUGGAUUGAUGGAUACUUUUUUUUAACCAGACAAUAUUUAUGUGACUAUAUUUAUGUAUCUAUUGGAGAACAGAGUAGCAAGAUAAAUACUGUGCUGUGGGCAGAUCAUUCUUGAUCAGUGGGUUGUAGCUGUGCAGAGGAGAAAAUGUAGCUGUUGCUCAUGAUCUCUUAAGGUGAAAUAUUGCUUCCCAUCGUGAAUCCUCUCUUCCAUGAGGAAGCAUUCUGUUAGUUUGAGUAGCUUUGCCUAAAAAGUAUUUACUACUGCCUCCAUCAGGACCUCUUCUAAUAAAAGGGAACACUUGGGCUUAUUCUGUGUUUAUUUUCAGUUGAUUUUGUGGAGUUUUGCCAUUCACGUAUCCUCAGCUAUGACCAUCUAUAAACUGGGAUAUGGCAAAGUAAUUAACAUUCAUAAUUGGUAUGUUAAUAAAAGCAGAAUUGGUUGGUACAUGAGGGAUUCAAAUGCCUGUAAUUCAGGUGACUUUUGGAAGCAGAAGGAUGUUGAGGUGAGAGUUUGCUGUGAUGUCAGUCAGUGAAAUUCCAAAGAUUACUGGCAAGUGAGGCUAAAAUCUUCUUCCAGGAACCUGGUAUUGAAGACUCAUUUGCUAAUGAGUAUCCAGGGGUUUGGAAUCCCAUAAACCUUUAAUACUGGCUCUAGGCCUUGCAGGUCUUGACUUGAUGGGAAAUACAAUAUUCUGUUUUAAAUGUAGUCAGUUUUCUCUAGUUGGAGUAGGAGGUAUAAUAUGCAAAAGGGAAACAGCAUAAAUAUGUGCUGUGCAUAGGGGAUGAAACAGUCUGAAUUAUGAUCAUGAGCUUACAGCAUGUUAAAAGAGUGUUUUUUUUAGAAAAUGGCAAAGUUGGUACUUGAGUAGAUGGAUAAAUGAAAAACAGCAUACAAUCCUUGCAGAGGAGUAAGAAUACAAAACGAUUUUCAACUUAAUAAAAUGCUUCUAUCAAUAUUGAUGUCUGACUCAGUAUUUCUAGAUCUGGUUAUUUGAUUAUUGACAGGGAUGAGUGCAAGAGAAGCCUGAAGAAGGAUGAGGGUAGUGUGUACUCUGUUUUCGUGAAAUAUGUGACUGCAGAAUUAAUGACAUACUUAAUUUUUUUUCACAAUAAGACAAAAGCUUUUUUAUUAACAAACACUUGUCCUGCCUUCUAAAUUUUAAGUCUCUGUGAAUAUUUUGCUUAAAGCAGCUUCUGCACAGGAAUUGCAGUUCUGGGAAAACAUCUGAGAGGGAUCAUAGACACACUAAACAGAGCUGUUUGAUCUUGGCGCAGGAGCUUUCUGGUUGAUGAUCUUUCAUUCCCUUAAACAGCUGCCUAAUUAGUCAGCCUUAAGGGCCAGUUUAUCUGGACAUACUGGAAAAAAAUGUGACAUUGCUUGUCCCAGACUCUUGGUAUUCAGGACUUAGUACAAAAGGGCAGUUUGGGUUCCUUUUCCUCCUAGAUUACUGGGGAUAGAUCAGCCUGGGACUGGAUAUUUAAACUAAUAUUAUUAAAUCAGUGUGGCCUUUCCACUUCUGCUGGGACUAAUUUUUACUCCUUUUUUUGCUUACUUUCCUGUUAUGAAAUUUUGACUUUUUUUCCAUUAAUGAAGCUUAAUUAUGAAGUGAAAUUUGGUUGUUUUAAAAUUUCUUUAUGUCAUAGCUUGAAAAUAUUUUAUUGUAUUUUAAAACUCAACACAUCUGUAAAACCAUGGGGAAUUUAAAUUACAUCAAGCCUGACUUAAAUGGUAAGUACUUAGUUCUUAUGGAAACUGGGCUAAAACCUUGAAGGAUUCUGAUAUGUGGAGUCCUUACACCCAAAUCAAUCCAAGUUGAGAAUAUUCUGUUGUCAGACAGGGAUUAGUCCUGGAUGCCUUCAGGUGCUGGUUCCUCACAGCCAGCACCAACCUGGACCAGAUAAAGGUAGAGCAGGUUUUUUCAAGCACAAUAUGAACAAACUCAUAGACACAGGUUCAUUCUCAGAUGUAAACUAUGGCAGGCAUUGAGGAACAGCUAAAAAUCAGGUUUAGCAACUGUACGGUUUUUAAAGAUUAAAUUAAUGCAGCCUGGUGCUAUCCAUGUAAGGAAAAAACAAACCCCAUGGGUGAAUCCCAGAUUUAACUUUGAUCAGGGGCAUUCAGAUUAUUUAUUGAAACCAUUUUUCCAUGGUAACAUUUCUCUCUCACUCCCCAAAUUGAAAUUUACUAUUUAAAACCUAAAGGAGUUUUUUUGCCAUGUUUCUGCACAGUGUUUUUGUGGAUGUUGCUCACUCUUGAAGAGGCAUCACCAUAGCAGCAGUCUCUUAGAGAAUUUUGUGGCUCUGCUUGUGGAUCAGUGAGCAGCACUGUCUUGGAUGGAUCAGAGCAUGUUUUGCUCACUGAAUUUCAAAGAACAAGUGAAUCUGUAUUGUUUAUCAUGAGAUGAAAAGGUUUUGCAUUUCCCUUAAGUGGAUCAUCAUUUUGACUUUAUUGUGAAAGUUAAGCAAGUUGCAUGAAAAAAUGAGUUGUGCAAACUUGAGUGUAUUUUAGGAACACAGUGUGGUAAAUAAAGAGUAUGAAAUAUUUCAGAAAAGAUCUCAUUUUUAAAUUGACUGCAUAAAAUAAUGCAAGUUAACAGUAGUGUAGCCACAGAACAGUUUUGCUUGGGCUGAAGCAUCAUGAUACUGCAGUGCUGAUGGGAAAGUACUUAAUUCACUGCUUACAGAAAUCUUCUGAUCAAAUCACUCAGUGGAGUUCUUGGAUCUAUAGAAAGAGGAAAUGGAAAUUUUCCUUGUUACGUGAUAAGUGAGGAGCUUUGAGACAACCUGGUGGGUUUUGGUGAGACUAAACUUGUCCCAGGGCUCUGCAGCUGAUGGAAUUGGUAGUGGUUUUACAUACUAUUUAAAAUGUUGCCCUCUUCUGGUUGCUGACAACUAUGAGAGUUGGGGAUGAGGAGCAGUACCACAAAUAACAUAAAAAGGUCUGGGAAAAAGGAAAGCAUGCAUUUUAUUCUGCAUUAGAACAAAUAGUUUUGAUAACUUAAAAUAAUCUAAUACUUUACAAAGAGCAGCUGAAUAUAAGAUAAAUUUUCAGGCACAUUAGAGUAUCCCACUUAAUAAGGGUUAAUGUAGGGGAAGCAAGAUUGUAGAGACCACCAGCCUUCAUUAGUGUUAAAAAUGUUUCGAUGUGCCUGAAUUGUAGUGUUUAUUUAUUUUGUUGUUAACUUGUUUUGAAGAACUGGUUUGCAGAAGAACUAUGACUUUGUGUAGGAAUAGAGGCUGGGAAUGUGAUUGCCUUGGGAUGUUUGUGCUAGUCCAGGAAUUCUUUUAAAUAGGAGCUGUUAGUGCUUCUGGUGCUCUUCUGCUCCACCCCUAGAAGUGUCCAAGGCCAGGUUGGACAGGGCUUGGAGCAGCCUGGGACAGUGGAAGGUGUCCCUACCCAUGGCAGCGGUGGAAUGAGUUGGGCUUUGAGGUCCCUUCCAACCCAAACCACUGCAGGAUUUUCUGAUUUUAUAUCUAAUGUGUUACCAGUAAAGGCUGUGAAGUUUAAUGGGAAAUCACAUUAAUACUUUAAAUGGACUCUUAGGCUGUGGCUCCUGCUGUUGAUUUUCAACCCAAAGAUAAAUUUCAUACACGGGUAGGGAGGACUAAAUUCUAGACAUCAGAAAAAAAGUGGUGUGAGGUCUGUAAGUUGGCCUGUACCUUCAGGUGUUUUGGAAUUGAAUGAUUUGUGUUCUUCUUUCUCACUCACUUAAUUAUCAGUAUUUCUGAAAUGAGGGUUUUUUUAAAAAAAAAAUUAAGUGUGAACUGGGUCUGGAGGGGGUUUAUAAACCAGGAGCAGCUCUUGCCAGUAGAUGGAGGUAAUGAGAUACAGAAGCCAAACUGGAUUCUCUUGUCCAUUGAUGAUAGGAUAAAAGCCAAGUGAUAUGUAGGAAAAAGGAGAACUGUAGUUUGUUUUUGCACUUCGUAAGACUUGCAGAAGAAAUUUAAAAAGUCAUCUUAAAACAGGACUCGGACUCAAAAUGCUGCUGGACAAAUUUUCCUGUAUCGGGGAUUUUCCUGGUUUUUCUCCAUUUUCUACACUGUUUAUGCAAGUAAUUAGUAUUCUUUCUGUAAGACUGUUUUGGGGCUCUUCUAACAGUAUGAGUCACAAUGAGAAUUGAUUCUCUCACAGCAGUUUUCUAGUUUGCCUUCUGGUUUAUAACACUUCACUCUGUUUUUUAAAAUUAGAUAGAGGAAAGAAGCUGGUUUAGCUGAAUCCAGGCUCUGAGGGUGCGUGUCUGUGUUUUGUGAGGGUUUAUCCUGUUGGACAAGACCCAGAGACUUGUUUACAGUAUAAAAUUGGCCUGUUAUCCUCAGAACCUACAAGUUAAAUCCUCUUUUUGAUAGUUACAUGUAUUUAACCUCACAGAUAGUAGUAGUUGCAGCAGCAUAGUGCUGUCUUUGCCUAGAGUAGUAGGACAGUUUUUAAUGUCAGUUUUGAGGAUGCCUUUACAAUUUAUUUUUAUGUUGCCAUUCCCACCUGCUCUAUAUCUAAAGAAAUACUUGCAGUCAGUCCUCUUAAGUGAAGAAUUUUAAGUUGCAUCAUUUUGAGAGGGCCUUCACAGGACAGUGCAACUUGGUGCACAAUAACUUCCAUGUGCUGGACUGCUGCCUUUGGAUUGGAAACCCUGAGAUUAUUCUACUUUCAAUGUAUUUACUACUUCACAGGCUGAAACUGAAGCCUCUGAACCUCUGAGCUACUCACUUUAAUUAGAAAAUUGCCCAGAGGUGUCAGGAGUAUUGGUGUUGAAUAAGUACCUGUUGUGGGACUUGUGCUUCGUGCUCAGCUCUUGGUUUGGAGAGAGAGCUCAGAUCCCUGUGCUUCAACUUUUAAAUCUCUUUCCACAGGAAGAGUUAUGGGAGGUGUGGCUGACACUGAGAGUUCACAGGUCAAGGUUAAACAAAAACAAAACAGAAACCCAGAGCUGAAACAUUUCAGACAGCACGAGAGCAGUUUAAGCAUUCCCAGCAUGUUUUUGCUUAGUGAGAUAUGUAUGACUGUGAGUUCAGAGGUUCUUUUUUUAAAGGAAAAAUGCCUAAGGAGAUGUAAUUUUUCUUAGCACUGUCACAAAUUUUAUAGAUGUUGGCACUAACUCUUUUUUUCCUCAUAUGCAAAAGUAGAACUCUCCAUAAAUUGACUGUCACAGCUUUGUGGAAAAUUGCCACUCAUGGUGAACUGUUUUAUGACAAUUAUGCACCGUCCAUAGAAUAAAUGAACUUAAUAUAAGCAAUUUAUGGGUCUGUAGUUUUCCUUUCCUCCUGUUUUACAGCAGUGAGACUAACUGUGAGCUUUCUAGAAACUUGUUUGUGCAGGACCAUAUGGAAAACAAUGCCCUGGAAGGCGUGCUUGCUGGUAUGGAAAUAGCACUUGGAGUCAUUAGUUUGUGUGAGUAACCUUCCUAAAAGAGGUAAUUCUGACUUUAGGAUGCACUUCUGUGUGUGUAAGGGUAUGCACAUGUGCUGUGGGUGUCUGGAAUGCUGUACCAAAGAUUUCUAGAGCAAAUAAAUGUACUGGGAGUUGAGAAUGAGACUAUCUCCCAGGCUGGGUUGAGGGUGAAAGGAAUAUUUAAAUGUCCAGGGUUCACAUCUAGGGAGAGCGGAGAAUGAAUGUGUUAAAGAAGGGAUUAAGGAUUGGGUAUGUAGAAUUUUGAUUGUGGAUGUCUCAAGAAACUUCCCUGCUUAAAGGUUUGUGAGGUGGCACUGAGGCAGCUGAAUAAUGCAAGGCUGAAGGGUGUUGGGGCACUGACCAGGCUCCCCUGGGAAUGAUCACAGUCCCAAGGGUGCCAGAGCUCCAGGAGGGUUUAGACAACUCUGUCAGGCCCAGAGUGGGAUUGUUGGGGUGUCAAUCCAGGGCCGGGAGUUGGAUUGAUGAUCCCUACGGGUCUCUUCCCACUUAGGAUAUUCUGUCAUUUUGUGAAAUAACAGAACUGAAACAAUUCACAAAACACAGUGCCAAGUCUUUCCUCUUCUAGGGUUUCUAUCAGCCUGUGCACACAGGAGUAGAGCUCAAUCCAUGGAAGCUUCCUAAAUCUCUUAAUUCAGUAUUAGUGUGUAAGGCAUGGCAUAGAAAUUCUGAUUGCAAGUUAUCAUUGCUUUAUUUGAUUAGGGCAGCUUUUCCUGUGUUUUGUCAGUUCAGGUGUUCUUUUUAGGGUGAUGGGUUUACUGCUGCUAGGAAAAAACUGGCCCCUGACUGUGGCAGAGACCUGGAAUUUCAGAUAACUCUGGGCUGUUGCUCUAAAAACUUGACAUUUUGGGGCACCUUUGGUGGCCAUACGUGUUUCUGAACUCUAGCUGCCAGUUCAGUUCCUGGGGUGAAUUUUAGUGUCCAACUUGCCACUUUACAUCAAAACCCACAGCUGGAAUCUAUAAUAAAAAUAACCUCAGCUUUUAUAUUUUUUACUUGCUCCAGGUUAAAAUAGGAGCAGUAGUUUAUCUAUUACACUUCUGUGUUUAUACUUCUUACUGAAUCUACUUGUAAAUUUGCAGUGAUAAGUUAGAAAUGUGGGGCAUGCUGGCCAUUAAUCUGAGGCUAAGCUUGGUAGCAAACUGUGUUCCUCAGUGCUGCUAAAUAAUGCUGAGGAGCUCAUUGAAAUGGUCGCUUGAAUUUUAAAAGCCCCCACUCUGAUUCAGACAAGGCCAGCAGUGAGCUGUUAAGAUGCAGCUCUGUACAGAUGUAGGAGCUGAGCUCAAUAGUUCCCUUCUCCUGCCCACGGAGCCGGGAGAGGGACAGGCAGCGUGUGACAGGGGAACAGUUGUGGCAAUGAAGCCUCCAAAUCCGGGGAUCCCAGAGCCUGCUGUGUGUGAGGAUUGUUCAUGGGAUGUGCAGGCUCCUUUCUGCUUUCAGCUGGAGGGGAAACCUGGGGAAGACAGCUGGGGACUGCUGCAAGAGAGGAUGUAAUAGGAAAAUCUGGAGGGAAAGGUCUUUGGCACUGUGCUGUUAAAGGAAAGCUGGUGAUUUGGAGAAGGGCUGGAGGAUGUCAGUGGUGGAAAUGAGAAGAUUUGGAAGACAGAAGGCAAAA